This 207-nucleotide ribosomal RNA is filed under the name uncultured bacterium. Its description in RNAcentral is "partial 16S ribosomal RNA". It matches the Rfam family "Bacterial small subunit ribosomal RNA", at positions 568 to 774 of the family's 1533-position model. The record is from RNAcentral.
CGUGUAGGCGGCGGAUUUAGUUGGGCGUGAAAGCCCCGGGCUCAACCUGGGAACUGCGCUCAAUACUGAUUUGCUAGAGUCCGGGAGAGGCGAGUGGAAUAUCCAGUGUAGAGGUGAAAUUCGUAGAUAUUGGAUGGAACACCGAUGGCGAAGGCAGCUCGCUGGACCGGAACUGACGCUGAGUCGCGAAAGCGUGGGGAGCAAACA